AUUGAACGCUGGCGGCAGGCCUAACACAUGCAAGUCGAGCGGAUGAAGGGAGCUUGCUCCUGGAUUCAGCGGCGGACGGGUGAGUAAUGCCUAGGAAUCUGCCUGGUAGUGGGGGAUAACGUCCGGAAACGGGCGCUAAUACCGCAUACGUCCUGAGGGAGAAAGUGGGGGAUCUUCGGACCUCACGCUAUUAGAUGAGCCUAGGUCGGAUUAGCUAGUUGGUGGGGUAAAGGCCUACCAAGGCGACGAUCCGUAACUGGUCUGAGAGGAUGAUCAGUCACACUGGAACUGAGACACGGUCCAGACUCCUACGGGAGGCAGCAGUGGGGAAUAUUGGACAAUGGGCGAAAGCCUGAUCCAGCCAUGCCGCGUGUGAGAAGAAGGUCUUCGGAUUGUAAAGCACUUUAAGUUGGGAGGAAGGGCAGUAAGUUAAUACCUUGCUGUUUUGACGUUACCAACAGAAUAAGCACCGGCUAACUUCGUG
RNAcentral lists this ribosomal RNA (484 nucleotides) under uncultured bacterium. Its description in RNAcentral is "partial 16S ribosomal RNA". It matches the Rfam family "Bacterial small subunit ribosomal RNA", at positions 30 to 507 of the family's 1533-position model. The record is from RNAcentral.